GAACUUUAUAGGCAGAUCAAUAAGGCACAUCCGCUUUAAACAAUCUCACAAUAAUACCCGAAGCAGUCAAACUUGCAAUUGUUACAAUAGGCUGCAAAUCCAUCUUCAAUAGCUGGGUAAAUAUUUGAGCAAUUAACUUGCUUCAAGCUUCCUGCAACUGAAGGUUCACUCUUACUUACAGAAAGUCAGCAUUGCCAGAAACCCAGAAGUUGCCCUUGAAUCAACCUUUGAAGAAACAGACAGUAGGAAUGAUACUAGUGAAAUACAAUGCCUGAGUAAUAUUUAUGAGGUUAUUCAAGAUCUAUGCAGAAAUACUGGCUAAGAAAUUGGAUGAAGUUCCAGGGAAGACAUUUUCUUCAGCACUUUGAGGAAAUAAAAUUUGAGAAAAAUGUGUUUACUAUUUCCAGCAUUCCUAGAAUUCCAUUACCAAUGAGAGUCAUAAGAAUUGUGAUAUAAGUGAAUGGGUAUACAGAUCUAAAAGAAUAGAUCCACGUCAGACUUUCCUUUUAUUGUGAGGUUUGGCUCCCUUCCAUGUGUUCAUGAAAUAAAUUGGCUGCAGCAGAGCAGCUGGUAGCAUUCUGCUGACUGGAAGUAUCCCAGCAGAGACUGAAGCAGCCACAGUAAGGACUAGGAAUGAGAGACAACUCAGGUUAUCAGAGUUUCUCAAUGAACUGCAAAAUGACGCUCCGCUCAGGCCGUGAAAAGCCAUACAGAGUGCCUACUUGUGGAAGGCAACUGGUGAGAAGGAAACUUCUGGAGAGCACUAGAUCAGCAGCUGCUGAAAAUUCAGAGCUUCAACUGCGGAAAACACUGAGAUGCUAUAUACAGACUGAAGAUUCAAAAACCGUGCAUUUCAGCUUAGAUGAACGUGGUCGUCAUGAAAUAUCAACCACAGAUUCACAACUCCCAGCAGAUACAGCAUGGUUAAGCCUAUUCACAAGCAAUAAGCCAGCAGUUAGAGCAAAAACAAACUCUAAAAACGUGGUGGUCCUCAUGCAGAGAUUGAAGUGUAAUGAAUUUGUUCUGUUGAGCAAGGGUGAAAAUCAACUCUGUCUGAAGGUUUUAAAGGGAUGCUGUUCUGAGCCAGAUCAUGCUUCAGUGAAAGGAGGCAACGCAAAAACGUGCAAGGAGGGAAGUCUUGACUUCAGAAAGCUACAGGAAGAAAAUCACUUUUUCAUCAUGCAUUCUGAAGGAGAUUCAGUGAAGUUCCAGUGCUACCAAGACACAAGUUACUUUCUGCACGUGAAUGAGAACUCACUUGACAUACGCAAGCUGGAUCGCAAAGACCCUGAUGGGGAGAGAAACUUUAUCUUCAAGGUGACUUAUUUUUAG
This 1332-nucleotide long non-coding RNA is filed under the name Numida meleagris (helmeted guineafowl). RNAcentral describes it as "lncRNA (ENSNMEG00000010056.1)". Lineage: Eukaryota; Metazoa; Chordata; Aves; Galliformes; Numididae. The record is from RNAcentral.